GUUGACGUCGAGGAAGAACACCCGGGGCUUGCUGGUCUUCGAUGGGGAGCCGUCCCUGCCCGACAGGUGCUCGCGGGAAUGCCCCGCUGGUGACGCGCUGGAUAUAGCCGAGCUGGACGUAGAGGGAGAAGAAGGGGUAGUGCUGGCUCGACUCGCGACGAGGCGGAGCGGACGAAACCUUAUGGGCGCCGCUACCCCUGCGGCGGUGGCCGGCGACGCGGCGACCGCCCCCACGCCCACGGUGGGCAGUGGCAACAUCACUGGUACACGGACGCUGCGGCUGGGGUUUGUGGAUAGAAGCG
This 302-nucleotide unclassified non-coding RNA is filed under the name Zea mays. Its description in RNAcentral is "misc RNA Zm00001eb146200". The record is from RNAcentral. Lineage: Eukaryota; Viridiplantae; Streptophyta; Magnoliopsida; Poales; Poaceae.